AUUCUCACUAAUUGGACCAAUCCAUGUUGUUGGAGCUAUAUUUUUAUUUUUGUUUAUUUUGGGUUUAAGUUAAUUUAUAGCCUUACUUAUUUCUUUUUCUUUUCCUGUUAAAGUUAAUUUGGUGUAUUUUGUAUUCAUGCUUUACUCGUAUUGUCGUUUAUUGGUCACAUGGUGUUAUGUUCAUUUGCAUAAGUAGGUCAAGGUGGGAGGUACUUCAGGCUCGAGGGCAUAUGGUUUUUUACCAGCGUGAGAGAGGCAGCAGAAAUGUCUGUGAGCUUGCUUAUGUGUGUGAAUAAACCGCCUCAAACUCAAUCUUGUUAUGGACAUUACUUUGCUUUGGUACCUCUGAACCUGCGUAAAGCCUAACCAUGACGUAGCCUCGAGUGGCCAUUUGAGAAGUUUGUUAUUAUUUGUUUUUGUUUAAGUUUAUGGACAAAUAGCCACUACAAUAAGUAAAAAACCCGCCCUGGAUAUAUCGUUGGUUUACGUGGAUACUGGACUUGUCGUUUGCUGGAUUACCGUUUCGAAAGUGGAUUACUCACCUGGAUGCGGGAGACAAACAAAGGAAAGGGCCUAGGAGUGACGGAGGUGUGGGCUGGAUACAGUGCAAACAUCGAAUAAUACGACCCAUCCGACAGUGUAAAGUUUCCCUGGACACCGUACUGGAUAACGGUGAAGCUACUGGAGCGCUGGAGCUGCACUACGGAGUGGAGGAUAUUAUUUGCUGCAAUUUGAAUUCGCAAAGGCCCAAAGCCUUCACAGGUAACGCGCACGGCCGCGCGCAACAACAGCUACUGCGUGCAUUCAACUCCGUGUACAAAGGCAACCACCGCAACAAACAAAGUUCCACAAGAUAUGGAGAAUCCGAAGAUGUGAAGAUUCCAGUUUAAUGCUUAAGCUACAAUUAGAAAAUAGCUCCUUUGUGUUAAAGCUAAGGUUAAUUGUGGGUAAAGUACCGUUACAAUUAGGGGCUGGGUUGUUGGAGCUAUAUUUUUAUUUUUGUUUAUUUUGGGUUUAAGUUAAUUUAUAGCCUUACUUAUUUCUUUUUCUUUUCCUGUUAAAGUUAAUUUGGUGUAUUUUGUAUUCAUGCUUUACUCGUAUUGUCGUUUAUUGGUCACAUGGUGUUAUGUUCAUUUGCAUAAGUAGGUCAAGGUGGGAGGUACUUCAGGCACGAGGGCAUAUGGUUUUUUACCAGCGUGAGAGAGGCAGCAGAAAUGUCUGUGAGCUUGCUUAUGUGUGUGAAUAAACCGCCUCAAACUCAAUCUUGUUAUGGACAUUACUUUGCUUUGGUACCUCUGAACCUGCGUAAAGCCUAACCAUGACGUAGCCUCGAGUGGCCAUUUGAGAAGUUUGUUAUUAUUUGUUUUUGUUUAAGUUUAUGGACAAAUAGCCACUACACAUGUUGUUACCUUGGAAACAAAGGGUCAUAUAAUUUACAACAGUCAAGGUACAAUCUUUUAGCAAAAAGGAUAUCUGAAAAACAUCUAAUUAAAGUGUUUUUUCCUGUUACUGCAUGUCAAUUAUCAUCUGGUUUACCGACAAGAUGGGUCCAAAUGUUAGUGAAUUCAGCACUAACCUGGCGGUUGCUGGAGUUUCGGGCGGGGGAGGAACCCCCUGGUUAUUUUUUGGGGUUCAAGGUUAAGGUCUGGUUUUAGGCCAGAUGAGUGGUUGGUAUGGAUUUGAAAGGGUAUCCGUUUCCUCAAUGCAAAGCUUUUUUCAGUUUAUAGUGUCUUUUCAAACCUCCAUGGAUUCUAAAACCAUAUCUUGCCUAAAUAUGAUGGAAUUGUUUUGACAUUGAUGGAAACAAAUCUAUUGACUUUCUUACAGAGAGAAAGAAGAAGAUCAAUACCACAUUGAUAUUUGUUUUCUAUUUAUAUAUGAAGACAAGUAGCGCAACUUAGCAUAAAGGCGGAAUGCAGUGUGAAACAGUUCUAGUCCUCUAAACCAGGUGGUAAAUUGUAUUUUGCAUGGCUGAAUUGACAGCAAACACAAGAAAUAAUUAAUCGCUCAUUCUGGAAAUAUCCCAAAAGGUGUACAGAUUGCCUAUCUUAUCCAAGACCCACUUGAAAAACGCUGUCCCUUUUAGUCCCAUAGAUUUUUUCAUUUUU
Gasterosteus aculeatus aculeatus (three-spined stickleback) is the source of this 2108-nucleotide long non-coding RNA. Lineage: Eukaryota; Metazoa; Chordata; Actinopteri; Perciformes; Gasterosteidae. The record is from Ensembl.